UUUGUUACUUUUGUCUGUUUCAUUAGACCAGUUUAUUCUAACCAUCAUGUUGUGGGCAGCCAAGUUUUCUAGCUAUGAAGUCCACUGGUGGAAAGUUGCUUGUAUUUCAGUCAGUGUUUCUACAGAAGGCCACCAACAUUACCCGCUGAUGCAUCACUAGGGAAUGAAAUUUGUUCAGUAAACAAAUCAGUUGAAGCUUCCCUUUCCAUCCAGCAACAACCUCACGGAUGUGUUAUUAGCAUGGAGCAUUGGUCGUGCUUUCGUGCAGAAGGCUAAAUUGGAGAGCCUUUAGAAGCAGCUGUCGUUUUUUGCAUCUUAAAGCCCCAUAAAUUGGAAAGCCUGUAGAAGCAGAUGCUGCACAGAUUCCUAAGGACCAUGGUGGUAUCACCAUGUUUUCAAUCUAGAAUGCUGACGACAAAACCUGAAGGAUAGGAAUCAAUCUUGGAACAAUUUUUUGAGGCUGACGAAAAUGGUCAUCUUUUGAAGAUGUUGGGGAUGCCCGCCACCAGAAGUUUGCUGUUGGAUUCAGUUGUUCCUAUCAAUGUUAAUACUCUUCGAUGUAAAUUAUUAGUGUCGUAUUAGCUCCAAGAGGAUCACUACGCAAGUGAGAAACCUGAUGUUAAUGUUCGCACGUGUCGAACAAUUAAUGUUCUUAGGACUCCAAAAUUGCUUUAGCAUAAGGACAUCCUAUUUCACCGUGUUGUAAACUAUGCUAAGAAACUACUACUUAGCUAACUAUUUGAUGCUAAUGCCACUCUUCUUUGCAAUCGAAAUUCAUAAUUGUGCUGCA
Molecule: long non-coding RNA, 790 nt
Organism: Panicum virgatum (switchgrass)
Lineage: Eukaryota; Viridiplantae; Streptophyta; Magnoliopsida; Poales; Poaceae
Exons: 5
Source: RefSeq, a predicted model, not a curated record